GACGAACGCUGGCGGCGUGCUUAACACAUGCAAGUCGAACGGAAAGGCCCUGCUUUUGUGGGGUGCUCGAGUGGCGAACGGGUGGGUAACACGUGAGUAACCUGCCCUUGACUUUGGGAUAACUUCAGGAAACUGGGGCUAAUACCGGAUAGGAGCUCCUGCUGCAUGGUGGGGGUUGGAAAGUUUCGGCGGUUGGGGAUGGACUCGCGGCUUAUCAGCUUGUUGGUGGGGUAGUGGCUUACCAAGGCUUUGACGGGUAGCCGGCCUGAGAGGGUGACCGGCCACAUUGGGACUGAGAUACGGCCCAGACUCCUACGGGAGGCAGCAGUGGGAAAUAUUGCACAAUGGGCGGAAGCCUGAUGCAACAACGCCGCGUGCGGGAUGACGGCCUUCGCGUUGUAAACCGCUUUCGCCUGUGACGAAGCGUGAGUGACGGUAAUGGGUAAAGAAGCACCGGCUAACUACGUG
RNAcentral lists this ribosomal RNA (468 nucleotides) under uncultured bacterium. RNAcentral's name for it is "partial 16S ribosomal RNA". It matches the Rfam family "Bacterial small subunit ribosomal RNA", at positions 28 to 507 of the family's 1533-position model. The record is from RNAcentral.